Molecule: ribosomal RNA, 540 nt
Filed under: uncultured bacterium
Lineage: Bacteria
Description: bacterial SSU rRNA
Rfam family: Bacterial small subunit ribosomal RNA
Source: RNAcentral
CCUUACCUGGCCUUGACAUACUAAGAACUUUCCAGAGAUGGAUUGGUGCCUUCGGGAACUUAGAUACAGGUGCUGCAUGGCUGUCGUCAGCUCGUGUCGUGAGAUGUUGGUUAAGUCCCGCAACGAGCGCAACCCUUUUCCUUAUUUGCCAGCGGGUUAAGCCGGGAACUUUAAGGAUACUGCCAGUGACAAACUGGAGGAAGGCGGGGACGACGUCAAGUCAUCAUGGCCCUUACGGCCAGGGCUACACACGUGCUACAAUGGUCGGUACAAAGGGUUGCUACCUCGCGAGAGGAUGCUAAUCUCAAAAAGCCGAUCGUAGUCCGGAUCGCAGUCUGCAACUCGACUGCGUGAAGUCGGAAUCGCUAGUAAUCGCGGAUCAGAAUGCCGCGGUGAAUACGUUCCCGGGCCUUGUACACACCGCCCGUCACACCAUGGGAGUUUGUUGCACCAGAAGUAGGUAGUCUAACCGCAAGGAGGACGCUUACCACGGUGUGGCCGAUGACUGGGGUGAAGUCGUAACAAGGUAGGCGUAGAUGA